RNAcentral lists this unclassified non-coding RNA (435 nucleotides) under Hevea brasiliensis (rubber tree). The record is from RNAcentral. Lineage: Eukaryota; Viridiplantae; Streptophyta; Magnoliopsida; Malpighiales; Euphorbiaceae.
GAAGGGAAUAACAAAAGCAUUUCCUUCAUAACGCUUUUAAUGAUUGCUGUUCUUACAAAUAGGUGUGUUUUCAUAAAAGAGAUUCUUGAUGGCUUUGAAGCCUGGUGCUGUUUCUGGAUGUGAUAUUUCUCAUUCAAGCUGGGGAAGAGUCUCCCUGUCUAAAUCGCCGAACUGGAUGAGGAGUUUGAGUAUAACGCGGAGAUUUGUGUGGUUUGGCGCGAUAAGGGCUGAAUUGAGACAAUUUAUUGAUCAGAAUGUGGCCAAUGCUUCGGGAAGCUUGCAAAAGGAUUUCAGCUCCUUUCCAAGACCAUUAUCUGUAGCUGAUCUUUCUCCUGGUCCGGUUGAUGGGGUAAAGGUGCGGAUAUCUUAUAAGGGGCUACCGGGUUCAUACAGUGAGGAUGCUGCACUAAAAGCCUACCCUAAAUGUGAAACUGU